GAACGCUGGCGGCAGGCUUAACACAUGCAAGUCGAGCGGGCGUAGCAAUACGUCAGCGGCAGACGGGUGAGUAACGCGUGGGAACAUACCUUUUGGUUCGGAACAACACAGGGAAACUUGUGCUAAUACCGGAUAAGCCCUUACGGGGAAAGAUUUAUCGCCGAAAGAUUGGCCCGCGUCUGAUUAGCUAGUUGGUGAGGUAACGGCUCACCAAGGCGACGAUCAGUAGCUGGUCUGAGAGGAUGAUCAGCCACAUUGGGACUGAGACACGGCCCAAACUCCUACGGGAGGCAGCAGUGGGGAAUAUUGGACAAUGGGCGAAAGCCUGAUCCAGCCAUGCCGCGUGAGUGAUGAAGGCCCUAGGGUUGUAAAGCUCUUUUGUGCGGGAAGAUAAUGACGGUACCGCAAGAAUAAGCCCCGGCUAACUUCGU
RNAcentral lists this ribosomal RNA (431 nucleotides) under uncultured bacterium. RNAcentral's name for it is "bacterial SSU rRNA". It matches the Rfam family "Bacterial small subunit ribosomal RNA", at positions 31 to 506 of the family's 1533-position model. The record is from RNAcentral.